GCAUCGAUGAAGAACGCAGCGAAAUGCGAUAAGUAAUGUGAAUUGCAGAAUUCAGUGAAUCAUCGAAUCUUUGAACGCACAUUGCGCCCAUUAGUAUUCUAGUGGGCAUACCUGUUCGAGCGUCAUUUCAACCCCUAAGCACAGCUUAUUGUUGGGCGUCUACGUCUGUAGUGCCUCAAAGACAUUGGCGGAGCGGCAGCAGUCCUCUGAGCGUAGUAAUUCUUUAUCUCGCUUCUGUUAGGCGCUGCCCCCCCGGCCGUAAGACCCCCAAUUUUUUCUGGUUGACCUCGGAUCAGGUAGGAAUACCCGCUGAACUUAAGCAUAUCAAUAAGCGGAGGA
This 339-nucleotide ribosomal RNA is filed under the name uncultured fungus. Its description in RNAcentral is "eukaryotic LSU rRNA". The stretch from base 1 to 125 matches the Rfam family "5.8S ribosomal RNA", at positions 30 to 154 of the family's 154-position model. Lineage: Eukaryota; Fungi. The record is from RNAcentral.